This 468-nucleotide ribosomal RNA is filed under the name uncultured bacterium. Its description in RNAcentral is "partial 16S ribosomal RNA". It matches the Rfam family "Bacterial small subunit ribosomal RNA", at positions 28 to 507 of the family's 1533-position model. The record is from RNAcentral.
GACGAACGCUGGCGGCGUGCUUAACACAUGCAAGUCGAACGGAAAGGCCCUGCUUUUGUGGGGUGCUCGAGUGGCGAACGGGUGAGUAACACGUGAGUAACCUGCCCUUGACUUUGGGAUAACUUCAGGAAACUGGGGCUAAUAUCGUAUAGGAGCUCCUGCUGCAUGGUGGGGGGUGGAAAGUUUCGGCGGUUGGGGAUGGAUGCGCGGCUGAUCAGCUUGUUGGUGGGGUAGUGGCUUACCAAGGCUUUGACGGGUAGCCGGCCUGAGAGGGUGACCGGCGACAUUGGGCCUAAGAGACGGCGCAGUGUCCAACGGGAGGCAGUGGUGGGAAGUCUUACACAAUGAGCGGGAGCGUGAGGCAGCAACGCUGCGUGCGGAAUGACGGCCUUCGGGGUAUGAACCGCAUUAGCCUGAGACGAAGCGUGACUGACGGUAAUGAGUGAAGAAGCACCGGCUAACUACGUG